GGAUGUGAGGGCGAUCUGGCUGCGACAUCUGUCACCCCAUUGAUCGCCAGGGUUGAUUCGGCUGAUCUGGCUGGCUAGGCGGGUGUCCCCUUCCUACCUCACCGCUCCAUGUGCGUCCCUCCCAAAGCUGUGUGCUCGGUCGAAGAGGACGACCUUCCCCGAUAGAGGAGAGGACCGUUCUUCGGUUAAGGGUAUACGAGUAGCUGCGCUCCCCUGCUAGAACCUCCAAACAAGCUCUCAAGAAUCAACCUAUCAAACUUAUGAAAUAGCCAGACGGAGUUCUGAUUAGGAUUGUGUUGAAUCCAUACAUCAAUUUUGGAGACAAUUUCUAU
This is an unclassified non-coding RNA of Mustela putorius furo (domestic ferret), 332 nucleotides long. Its record names the gene 7SK. It matches the Rfam family "7SK RNA". From Rfam's summary of the family: 7SK was discovered as an abundant small nuclear RNA in the mid-70s but a possible function has only recently been suggested. Two independent studies have found that 7SK RNA binds the CDK9/cyclin T complex (known as elongation factor P-TEFb). NCBI's taxonomy places the organism in Eukaryota, Metazoa, Chordata, Mammalia, Carnivora, Mustelidae. The record is from Ensembl.